This 886-nucleotide non-coding RNA is filed under the name Echinocardium cordatum (sea potato). The record is from RNAcentral. Lineage: Eukaryota; Metazoa; Echinodermata; Echinoidea; Spatangoida; Loveniidae.
GCCGAUUUGGUCCUAGUCCCAACAUUAACUAUUCUAAAGUUGCCACAUGCAAGUCAACAGACGCACCAGUGAAGUGCAACCCCUCCAUUUAAACCUUUAAGAGAUAAAAGUAGGGUUACUUAGCAUCAGGCCCGCGAAAGUUGCCAACAACGCUAAGCAAAACGCCACAACUGCAGUGCUAAACAUUAGACAAUCGGAACACCCCGGAUCUAGUUAAAGAACAAAAAGGAGGUAAAAUACGUGCCAGCCAGCGCGGUUACACGUAAAUCCUAAAGUUAUCCUAAAACGGUUCAAAGGGUGGUUAAAAUUUAAUCCCUCAGCCAAAGCUCCAAGACAGUGGUAGAAAACUUACCUUGCAUGAACAAGCCUAGCUGACCUAAAAAUUUGACUCCAUGAAAACUAAGGCCUAAACCAGGAUUAGAUACCCUGCUAUACUUAGAAGUAAACAACCUAUAACACCAGAGAACUACGAACCAAAAAUUUAAAACUCAAAGGACUUGGCGGUUUUCCAAACCUCCCUGGAGGAGCUUGCCAUCGAAUCGAUAACCCACGAAACACCUCACCAACCCUAGUAAAAUCAGCCUGUAUACCAUCGUCGCAAGUCUACCUCCCAAGAAAGUUGACAAAAAGGAACCCCCAAGACGUCAGAUCAAGGUGCAGCUCACGGGUUGGGGAUCGGUGAGCUACAAUGUCUUUCAAAGCCAGUGGACAUCGAAGUGAAACCCUCGAUCAAAACCGGAUUCAGCAGUAAGUCUCAAUAGAGAGUGUGACUGAAGGAAGCUCUGGAAUGCGUACACAUCGCCCGUCACUCUCACCUAGCUAAGCAGCGAGAUGAGAAAAGUCGUAACAUAGUAGGCGUAUCGGAAGAUGCGCCUGGAAAAUAAAA